AAAGUCGUAACAAGGUUUCCGUAGGUGAACCUGCGGAAGGAUCAUUAACACUUCUAUGUAACUUAUAAACCCCAAACCCCUACUUCUGUUAAAUACUACAGUAUAAUCAAAAAUAACACAACCUAACUUAAUUUAACCCAUAACACCUAACAACAUAACUAAUUGACUAAUUUUCAGAUUGUAUCUCUUCUUAAGCAAAUAUGUAUUCUCUUCAUUUGUUUCUUUAAUCGGAAAUAAGUUUAGAUCUGAUAUAUAGCAAUAUAUAUCUUGAGUCGUUUGUGACGAGUUGAGUCCGAUCUUGUUUUAAUUCCAAUUCAUUGAUUUGAAUUGUAUUUUAAACAACAUAUAUAUAUUACAACUCUAAACAAUGGAUAUCUUGGUUCUC
Molecule: unclassified non-coding RNA, 385 nt
Filed under: Basidiomycota sp.
Lineage: Eukaryota; Fungi; Basidiomycota
Description: partial contains small subunit ribosomal RNA, internal transcribed spacer 1, and 5.8S ribosomal RNA
Rfam family: Eukaryotic small subunit ribosomal RNA (bases 1-47)
Source: RNAcentral